Molecule: non-coding RNA, 1671 nt
Organism: Saimiri boliviensis boliviensis (Bolivian squirrel monkey)
Lineage: Eukaryota; Metazoa; Chordata; Mammalia; Primates; Cebidae
Source: RefSeq, a predicted model, not a curated record
CUCACCACUGUGCGGGCUGGGGCAGCAAGGCCAACAGUUGCCGCUUUACCGGGGCAGGGCGUGUACUGGCACCCAGGUUUGGCAUGGCAGAGCUGGCCAACAGCCUGUGGUCCUUCAUCUGCCCCCCAGUUCCAAGAGGCCUACAGCCCCCAGCACUGCCUCUGCCCACCUGCCUUUAACAGACUCCAGGGCUGCUCCUGCCAUGCAGCAAAGGCUUUGUCUGUUUCAAAGUUUGAGACUCAACUUGAGGGACUGUUUUUGACAAUCCCCGCUGACCUUCCCUCCUCGUGGUGCCGUGGCCCUGCACCCAGCCUGGCCCAGGGCCAGCUUUGCCUAGCGAGGCUGGAGGGAGCACCAGGACCUGCUGUCUGCUGUCAGCCCCUCCUGGUGCUGGUGCCCUGUUGCUGUGCCUUGUCAUCCACUAAGCUGCAAGAGGGACAGAGAGAGGACCACGCAGCCAGCCAGACGCCUGGCCCUGUGCUGGGGCAGACAACGCUGCAGAGCCCGGGGAGCCUGGUCCUAGGACGUGUGUCCGUGGCGACACUGGUGUGUCUGAACUCACCUUGCCUGGGAAGCACCAUCUGCGCCCCGCCCCGAGCCCCACCCCCUCCAGUCCACAGCCAGGAAGGGGCCACUGAGGGCAAACGUCCUGCGAGGCUCUCUGCCCAACCUGCUCCUCCAAGGGUCUGGCCUUCAUGCUGUGGAGCCACCCCCACCCCACUGCCCACUCUCAGAAGCAGCUGGGACUCUGCUCACACAAGUGACUGGGCCGGCCCUGGACCCCCAGAACCCCCCAAGCCGCAUGCCAGCUGCCUGCACAGGGAGAGCAGCUGAGGCCCAGGCAGGAGCCCCACACUAGACCCCAGAAUAGCUUUCCCACCCAGGCACCUCCCCUCUGGGGGGCAGCAGGCGUGGGAGUCAGGGCUGCACGUUCCUCCCCUCCCACCUCACAGGCGGCCUUAGGCAAGUCAUUCUUUGUUAUCACAAGGUCGCCUCUGCCUAGCCCGGUCCUCGCAUCCAGAGCAGGGACGUGCAGCCCCCAGGCCCCCACACACCUCCCUCUUCGCCAAGGCCGGGACCACCAACCACACGUUUCAUUGUGGCUGCCUGUGGGCUCCCAGGGCUUGCAUACAGGCCAGGCCUGUCCAUUGACUUUUAAAAGUGAAACUGCUGGAUCUCAGAUUCUAUGGCAUCUAAGGCCAAGCAGGGGUGGGCACACAGGUCACCCAAAGCCCACACUGAGCCUCUGUGCCUGUCCUAGGCCCCAGUCAAGGAAGCCAUGAGGCGGGGGGGGGGGGGGGGGGAUCCGCUGAGGAAGGAAAUGUUCAUUUUCAUUUGUCCAAAACCACCUUAAGUAUAUUAAUCUUGAUGCUUUUUAACUAUUGCUUUUUAACUUGCUGAGAUUUAGAAAUACUGUUAUAAAAAGAAAAACUUUUUUAGUUUCUGUAUUUUUUUCUGUAUUGUAUCUUCAUGGGACAUUAGGGGUUUUCUAUGGUAAGCACACCUACGGUUUUGGUAAAAACAUUAUCAAAUAUACAUCCAGACGGUUCUUCCCUAGAAGAAAAACAAUCUUUACACCUGAUAAAACAUUUUGAAAAGAGAGGUGUUCUUUUCCCUUACUGGUGCUGAAAGGAAGGAUGGAUAAUGAGGAGAAAAUAAAACUGUGAGGCU